UAGCACUGCAGGCGCCUCGCUUCGAGGA
This 28-nucleotide small RNA is filed under the name Bombyx mori (domestic silkworm). RNAcentral's name for it is "ovarian small RNA-22249". The record is from RNAcentral. Lineage: Eukaryota; Metazoa; Arthropoda; Insecta; Lepidoptera; Bombycidae.